This is a non-coding RNA of Ciona intestinalis (vase tunicate), 1005 nucleotides long. NCBI's taxonomy places the organism in Eukaryota, Metazoa, Chordata, Ascidiacea, Phlebobranchia, Cionidae. The record is from RefSeq and is a predicted model, not a curated record.
ACCAAGAUUUAAAGAAAACUCAAAACUUUCAAACAAUUUUACUAAGACGUAAAGAAACCUGCGACAUAUUACUUAAUAGUUCAAAGCACAAAAUGAUAAGGAAACAUUGAAGUAAUACCUAUCCUAUAUUAUUUAAGCCUAUACAGACCAGAUCCAUGAGGUACUGGGUAUAAUGUCAAAAAAACUUAUCUUUAUAGUUUAGUGACAUCUGCGCUGUUAUAUAUACACCUACAACUUUUACCAAACAUAACAACAUUCAUUAUACAGAAAAGAUCAAUGUUAAACUUUUAAUCAUGGGUUGGCAAGACGAACUUUUAACAUUCGUGGCUGAUAACUUAUACAUUUAUGUUACACUGUAUUUGAAAGCGGGUAAACGUAUUGUUAGCGUUGCUGAUGUUUUACAACUAUAUUAUCGAUUAAAGUUUGAACGUCGACGUUGUUUGAAAGAUUACAUCAUCAACCAUCAGUCGCCAUUCCGCGUUGGAAUAUUCAAAUCAUAAAGUAGAAACAGGAGGCGUUCUCACCGCUUAUCAAUCGCUGGAAUUAUCGGGUAUUGAGAAUAUAAAAAGCGACCACACCGACCACACAAUCAUCAACGCAUUCCAGACAAAUCUCAACGAAAUGGAUGGAAAGAUUGUUUUUGCUCUUCUUCUCUUGAUGUCUCUUCAAGCCUCUGUGGUCUUCGGACAUUGGAAUGAACGCAAAGGUGCCGAGCCGGAGUUCCCACCUGUACUGGGCACAGAUUCAUGGUCCUACAAAAAGGACGCAAAUGACGGAUGGUGGAAGAAUGCAGAAGAUGGAUGGUGGAAGAAUGCAGAAGAUGGAUGGUGGAAGAAUGCAGAAGAUGGAUGGUGGAAGAAUGCAGAAGAUGGAUGGUGGAAGAAUGCAGAAGAUGGAUGGUGGAAGAAUGCAGAGGAUAUAUGGGUUUGGAAACUAUAAGAGUUAACCACCAGUGAACUUAUCAUUCGACGGAAUAUUGAGUUCAAUAAAAGGAAAUGAAAUGUA